UAGGGAAUCUUCGGCAAUGGGGGCAACCCUGACCGAGCAACGCCGCGUGAGUGAAGAAGGUUUUCGGAUCGUAAAGCUCUGUUGUAAGUCAAGAACGAGUGUGAGAGUGGAAAGUUCACACUGUGACGGUAGCUUACCAGAAAGGGACGGCUAACUACGUGCCAGCAGCUGCGGUAAUACGUAGGUCCCGAGCGUUGUCCAGAUUUAUUGGGCGUAAAGCGAGCGCAGGCGGUUUGAUAAGUCUGAAGUUAAAGGCUGUGGCUCAACCAUAGUUCGCUUUGGAAACUGUCAAACUUGAGUGCAGAAGGGGAGAGUGGAAUUCCAUGUGUAGCGGUGAAAUGCGUAGAUAUAUGGAGGAACACCGGUGGCGAAAGCGGCUCUCUGGUCUGUAACUGACGCUGAGGCUCGAAAGCGUGGGGAGCGAACAGGAUUAGAUACCCUGGUAGUCCACGCCGUAACGAUGAGUGCUAGGUGUUGGAUCCUUUCCGGGAUUCAGUGCCGCAGCUAACGCAUUAAGCACUCCGCCUGGGGAGUACGACCGCAAGGUUG
This 549-nucleotide ribosomal RNA is filed under the name uncultured bacterium. RNAcentral describes it as "bacterial SSU rRNA". It matches the Rfam family "Bacterial small subunit ribosomal RNA", at positions 355 to 896 of the family's 1533-position model. The record is from RNAcentral.